Molecule: ribosomal RNA, 546 nt
Filed under: uncultured bacterium
Lineage: Bacteria
Description: bacterial SSU rRNA
Rfam family: Bacterial small subunit ribosomal RNA
Source: RNAcentral
GGGGAAUAUUGCGCAAUGGGGGCAACCCUGACGCAGCCAUGCCGCGUGAAUGAAGAAGGCCUUCGGGUUGUAAAGUUCUUUCGGUAGCGAGGAAGGCAUUUAGUUUAAUAGACUAGGUGAUUGACGUUAACUACAGAAGAAGCACCGGCUAACUCCGUGCCAGCAGCCGCGGUAAUACGGAGGGUGCGAGCGUUAAUCGGAAUAACUGGGCGUAAAGGGCACGCAGGCGGUGACUUAAGUGAGGUGUGAAAGCCCCGGGCUUAACCUGGGAAUUGCAUUUCAUACUGGGUCGCUAGAGUACUUUAGGGAGGGGUAGAAUUCCACGUGUAGCGGUGAAAUGCGUAGAGAUGUGGAGGAAUACCGAAGGCGAAGGCAGCCCCUUGGGAAUGUACUGACGCUCAUGUGCGAAAGCGUGGGGAGCAAACAGGAUUAGAUACCCUGGUAGUCCACGCUGUAAACGAUGUCGAUUUGGGGGUUGAACUUUGUGUUUGGCGCCCGUAGCUAACGUGAUAAAUCGACCGCCUGGGGAGUACGGCCGCAAGGUUA